Molecule: ribosomal RNA, 383 nt
Filed under: uncultured eukaryote
Lineage: Eukaryota
Description: partial 18S ribosomal RNA
Rfam family: Eukaryotic small subunit ribosomal RNA
Source: RNAcentral
CAAUAGCGUAUAUUAAAGUUGUUGCAGUUAAAAAGCUCGUAGUUGGAUUUCUGGUAGGAGUGACCGUUCCGAACUUGAUUGUUCGUGUAUUGUGUUUUCUCCAGCCAUCCUUGUGGAGAACUUUUCUUGCAUUAAUUUGUAGGGAUUGGGACCCGCAUCGUUUACUGUGAAAAAAUUAGAGUGUUUAAAGCAGGCAAUCGCUUGAAUACAUUAGCAUGGAAUAAUAAGAUAGGACUUUGGUACUAUUUUGUUGGUUUGCAUACCAAAUUAAUGAUCAACAGGAACAGUUUGAGGAUAUUCGUAUGAACAUGUCAGAGGUGAAAUUCUUGGAUUUUGAUCAGACGAACUACUGCGAAAGCACUUAUCAAGGAUGUUUUCAUUAA